This 368-nucleotide ribosomal RNA is filed under the name uncultured organism. Its description in RNAcentral is "bacterial SSU rRNA". It matches the Rfam family "Bacterial small subunit ribosomal RNA", at positions 526 to 896 of the family's 1533-position model. The record is from RNAcentral.
CGUAGGUGGCAAGCGUUGUCCGGAUUUAUUGGGUUUAAAGGGUGCGUAGGCGGUCUUUUAAGUCAGUGCUGAAAUACUCCAGCUUAACUGGAGGGGUGGCAUUGAUACUGGGAGACUUGAGUGUAGUCGAGGUAGGCGGAAUUGACGGUGUAGCGGUGAAAUGCUUAGAUAUCGUCAAGAACACCGAUAGUGAAGACAGCUUACUAGGCUACAACUGACGCUGAGGCACGAAAGUGUGGGGAUCAAACAGGAUUAGAUACCCUGGUAGUCCACACUGUAAACGUUGAUGACUCGCUGUGUGCGAUAUACAGUACGCGGCUAAGCGAAAGCGAUAAGUCAUCCACCUGGGAAGUACGAUCGCAAGAUUG